GCGUUCAUAGCUCAGUUGGUUAGAGCACCACCUUGACAUGGUGGGGGUCAUUGGUUCGAGUCCAAUUGAACGCACCA
This 77-nucleotide transfer RNA is filed under the name Escherichia coli. RNAcentral's name for it is "tRNA-Val". It matches the Rfam family "tRNA". Rfam says of the family: Transfer RNA (tRNA) molecules are approximately 80 nucleotides in length. Their secondary structure includes four short double-helical elements and three loops (D, anti-codon, and T loops). Further hydrogen bonds mediate the characteristic L-shaped molecular structure. tRNAs have two regions of fundamental functional importance: the anti-codon, which is responsible for specific mRNA codon recognition, and the 3' end, to which the tRNAs corresponding amino acid is attached (by aminoacyl-tRNA synthetases). tRNAs cope with the degeneracy of the genetic code in two manners: having more than one tRNA (with a specific anti-codon) for a particular amino acid; and 'wobble' base-pairing, i.e. permitting non-standard base-pairing at the 3rd anti-codon position. RNAcentral also lists the same sequence under 3 other names. The record is from RNAcentral. Lineage: Bacteria; Pseudomonadati; Pseudomonadota; Gammaproteobacteria; Enterobacterales; Enterobacteriaceae.